Molecule: ribosomal RNA, 253 nt
Filed under: uncultured bacterium
Lineage: Bacteria
Description: partial 16S ribosomal RNA
Rfam family: Bacterial small subunit ribosomal RNA
Source: RNAcentral
UACGAAGGGGGCUAGCGUUGCUCGGAAUCACUGGGCGUAAAGCGCACGUAGGCGGACUCUUAAGUCGGUGGUGAAAUCCUGGAGCUCAACCACAGAAUUGCCUUCGAUACUGUAUGGCUUGAGACCGGAAGAGGUAAGUGGAACUGCGAGUGUAGAGGUGAAAUUCGUAGAUAUUCGCAAGAACACCAGUGGCGAAGGCGGCUCACUGGUCCGGUACUGACGCUGAGGUGCGAAGGCGUGGGGAGCAAACAGG